Cucumis melo (muskmelon) is the source of this 860-nucleotide long non-coding RNA. RefSeq lists it as uncharacterized. The record is from RefSeq and is a predicted model, not a curated record. NCBI's taxonomy places the organism in Eukaryota, Viridiplantae, Streptophyta, Magnoliopsida, Cucurbitales, Cucurbitaceae. The transcript has 6 exons.
CCUUUUCGUCUGCUCGAUCACAAGCCCCCCACGUCUCCUUUCGUCUGCUCGAUCACAAGCCCCCCACGUCUCCUUUCGUCUGCUCGAUCGCAAACCACCACAAUAGAUUCAUCGCCGCCACCGUUGAAGAAAUCGUGUUCAUCAGUCGCUGCCGUUGAAGACAUCGUGUUCGUCCGCCAUCAUUCAGAACAGGUUCGUCUCCAACAGUUCAUCCGCCGCCGCAACAGUUCAUCCGUCGCUGCAACAGUUCGUCUGCCACCGCAACAAGUUCGUUGCCACAAUAGGUUCGUUUGCUGCAACAGGUUCGUCCACACAAGCUGUCGCCGCUCAAGCCCUUUUUCAAUUUGUUUCUGCCUUUUAAGAAGCUCUUCCGUCGCCUUCCUUCCCUAUCCAUAUGAGAGCCUUCAUGGAAGUCUCAGCUCAUAAUCGUCUUGAUUUUGGGAAGAUGGGUUAUGGAUGCCAGCAUUACCGUAAGAGAUAGUGAGAUGAGCAGACUCUCUGAUCGUCAUUAGCUCAAUCGUUUUGACGUUAAACAAGUCGUCUGUGCAGUCUGUGACACGGAGCAGCCAAUAUGGAAAUGUUGCUGGGAUCUACAACUUUGGCCAAGAUGAUUUACAACAUUCUUUGUUUGGGUUGGUCAGCAGGCACAAUCUCAAUGAAUUUGUGAAACAUGCUUCCAGGAAAGGAAUUUCUAUUGAUGAUAUAAAUCUUAGUUCAAGAGGACAUGGAAAGGUUCAUAUUGUAGCAUAGACAUGUAUAUUUUGUUUAUAUAAUUAAACAUAGAUGAAAAGUUUGGGCUACACAUAUAUGUUGUAAUUAAGUAUGUAAUGACCAACUUAUAUAUGGUUCAUUGAUAUAUA